RNAcentral lists this long non-coding RNA (210 nucleotides) under Physcomitrium patens. RNAcentral's name for it is "long non-coding RNA (PPAT_LNC004192)". The record is from RNAcentral. Lineage: Eukaryota; Viridiplantae; Streptophyta; Bryopsida; Funariales; Funariaceae.
GAUUGGGUUUUUUUUUUGUAAUAAAGUUAAGGCUGGUACUCUUGACUGUUUUAUAAAAUUGAAGAAACUUCUAUGGUUGAAAUUUUAGAAGUGUCUAGGGGGUUGAGUAUACCAAGAGUAUGUAAAAUUUUGUGUUAAUUUGAUGAUACGGACAGAGGAUAUUUGACUAUUAGUAUAAAGAGAUAUCAAAAGUUAGCAGAUUGGAGUUAU